RNAcentral lists this ribosomal RNA (495 nucleotides) under uncultured bacterium. RNAcentral describes it as "partial 16S ribosomal RNA". It matches the Rfam family "Bacterial small subunit ribosomal RNA", at positions 28 to 507 of the family's 1533-position model. The record is from RNAcentral.
GACGAACGCUGGCGGCGUGCCUAAUACAUGCAAGUAGAACGCUGAAGGAGGAGCUUGCUUCUCUGGAUGAGUUGCGAACGGGUGAGUAACGCGUAGGUAACCUGCCUGGUAGCGGGGGAUAACUAUUGGAAACGAUAGCUAAUACCGCAUAAGAGUAGAUGUUGCAUGACAUUUGCUUAAAAGGUGCAAUUGCAUCACUACCAGAUGGACCUGCGUUGUAUUAGCUAGUUGGUGGGGUAACGGCUUACCAAGGCGACGAUACAUAGCCGACCUGAGAGGGUGAUCGGCCACACUGGGACUGAGACACGGCCCAGACUCCUACGGGAGGCAGCAGUAGGGAAUCUUCGGCAAUGGACGGAAGUCUGACCGAGCAACGCCGCGUGAGUGAAGAAGGUUUUCGGAUCGUAAAGAUCUGUUGUAAGAGAAGAACGAGUGUGAGAGUGGAAAGUUCACACUGUGACGGUAUCUUACCAGAAAGGGACGGCUAACUACGUG